GACAGAGGGUGCAAACGUUGUUCGGAUUUACUGGGCGUAAAGCGCGUGUAGGCGGCUUUGCAAGUCGGAUGUGAAAGCCCACGACUCAACCGUGGAAGUGCAUCCGAAACUGCAUGGCUUGAGUCUCGGAGAGGAAGGUGGAAUGCUUGGUGUAGAGGUGAAAUUCGUAGAUAUCAAGCAGAACACCUGCGGCGAAGGCGGCCUUCUGGACGAUGACUGACGCUGAGACGCGAAAGCGUGGGGAGCAAACAGG
This 253-nucleotide ribosomal RNA is filed under the name uncultured bacterium. RNAcentral's name for it is "partial 16S ribosomal RNA". It matches the Rfam family "Bacterial small subunit ribosomal RNA", at positions 524 to 776 of the family's 1533-position model. The record is from RNAcentral.